GCCGGGAUAGCUCAGCUGGUAGAGCAACCGCCUUGUAAGCGGUAGGUCGUCGGUUCGAACCCGUCUCUCGGCU
Molecule: transfer RNA, 73 nt
Filed under: Amnibacterium setariae
Lineage: Bacteria; Bacillati; Actinomycetota; Actinomycetes; Micrococcales; Microbacteriaceae
Rfam family: tRNA
About the family: Transfer RNA (tRNA) molecules are approximately 80 nucleotides in length. Their secondary structure includes four short double-helical elements and three loops (D, anti-codon, and T loops).
Source: Rfam by way of RNAcentral